Molecule: ribosomal RNA, 253 nt
Filed under: uncultured bacterium
Lineage: Bacteria
Description: partial 16S ribosomal RNA
Rfam family: Bacterial small subunit ribosomal RNA
Source: RNAcentral
UACGUAGGGCGCAAGCGUUGUCCGGAAUUAUUGGGCGUAAGGAGCUCGUAGGCGGUUUGUCGCGUCUGCUGUGAAAACCUAAGGCUCAACCUUGGGCUUGCAGUGGGUACGGGCAGACUAGAGUGCGGUAGGGGUGACUGGAAUUCCUGGUGUAGCGGUGGAAUGCGCAGAUAUCAGGAGGAACACCGAUGGCGAAGGCAGGUCACUGGGCCGCAACUGACGCUGAGGAGCGAAAGCAUGGGGAGCGAACAGG